This 269-nucleotide ribosomal RNA is filed under the name uncultured bacterium. RNAcentral's name for it is "partial 16S ribosomal RNA". It matches the Rfam family "Bacterial small subunit ribosomal RNA", at positions 565 to 832 of the family's 1533-position model. The record is from RNAcentral.
GAGCACGUAGGUGGGUUUGUAAGUCAGAUGUGAAAGCCUUCUGUUCAACGGAAGAAUUGCUUCUGAAACUGCAAACCUUGAGUAUAGGAGGGGAGAAUGGAACUUCUGGUGGAGCGGUGAAAUGCGUAGAUAUCAGAAGGAACGCCGGCGGCGAAAGCGGCUCUCUGGCCCGUAACUGACGCUGAGUGUGCGAAAGCUAGGGGAGCAAACGGGAUUAGAUACCCCGGUAGUCCUAGCCGUAAACGAUGGGCACUAAGUAGAGGGGUUUU